This 425-nucleotide ribosomal RNA is filed under the name uncultured bacterium. RNAcentral's name for it is "bacterial SSU rRNA". It matches the Rfam family "Bacterial small subunit ribosomal RNA", at positions 354 to 796 of the family's 1533-position model. The record is from RNAcentral.
GUGAGGAAUAUUAGGCAAUGGGGGAAACCCUGACCUAGCGACGCCGCGUGAAGGAUGAAGGUUUUCGGAUUGUAAACUUCUUUUAUGAGGGACGAUAGUGACGGUACCUCAUGAAUAAGCCACGGCUAACUACGUGCCAGCAGCCGCGGUAAUACGUAGGUGGCGAGCGUUGUCCGGAUUUACUGGGUGUAAAGGGCGAGUAGGCGGGCUUGCAAGUCAGAUGUGAAAUACCGAGGCUCAACUUCGGAGCUGCAUUUGAAACUGUAAGUCUUGAGUGAUGGAGAGGCAGGCGGAAUUCCCAGUGUAGCGGUAAAAUGCAUAGAUAUUGGGAAGAACACCAGUGGCGAAGGCGGCCUGCUGGACAUUAACUGACGCUGAGGAGCGAAAGUGUGGGGAGCAAACAGGAUUAGAAACCCUAGUAGUCC